Long non-coding RNA from Choloepus didactylus (southern two-toed sloth), 315 nucleotides. RefSeq lists it as uncharacterized. The transcript is spliced from 3 exons. The record is from RefSeq and is a predicted model, not a curated record. Lineage: Eukaryota; Metazoa; Chordata; Mammalia; Pilosa; Megalonychidae.
AAGCAGGCCGGCAGGUGAAUGGAGCCACGUUCUCUGAGUGCCAGUCCCUAACGCCGUGCCCUCCUCUAGCCCAGGCUGCAGGGAAUUGCGCCUUCAUGCUGCAGAGGAAUCCAGACAGUAGAGGAGUCAGACACUUGGCUCUCAAGGUUGGAACACAGCAACACAUUGAAAUAAUCAAUGAAAAGUCAAACAACCGAGAUCUCAGAGCUGACAAGAAUAUCCUGAGAAGAGAAAGAGAGUUGGAGGGAAGUUCUGGAGGCCGGAAGUCUGAACUCUGUUUCAGUGAGCCGAAAUCAAGGUGCAGCUCUGCUCCCU